CCUAUGGGAGGCAGCAGUGGGGAAUAUUGCGCAAUGGGCGAAAGCCUGACGCAGCGACGCCGCGUGAGGGAUGAAGGUCUUCGGAUCGUAAACCUCUGUCAGCAGGGAAGAACGGUCACUGUGCUAAUCAGCAGUGAAUUGACGGUACCUGCAAAGGAAGCACCGGCUAACUCCGUGCCAGCAGCCGCGGUAAUACGGAGGGUGCGAGCGUUAAUCGGAAUUACUGGGCGUAAAGCGCUCGUAGGCGGUAUGUCAAGUCAAGGGUGAAAUCCCCGCGCUCAACGUGGGAACUGCCUUUGAACGUGGCAAAAGGAAGUGUGUGGGAGGAUAGUGGAAUCCCAGGUGGAGGAGUGAAAUCCGUA
Molecule: ribosomal RNA, 362 nt
Filed under: uncultured bacterium
Lineage: Bacteria
Description: partial 16S ribosomal RNA
Rfam family: Bacterial small subunit ribosomal RNA
Source: RNAcentral